ACUUACAUCGAACGUAUAAAUGGAUUAAUUAAUACGUUCAUCAAUUUUGAGAAGGCAAGCGAUUUAUUGGGUUAUUUUCUGUCGGUCACACGUGACCUUUACAGUUUUUACGUACAUAUUCGGAUUUGCACCUGCUGCGCAAUAUUGUUUAAUAUAAAGCAAGAAAAAGGCCGAUGGAAAUCGAAAGAUGUGCAAGAGGCGCCGGGUCCCCUUAACAAUAAAUUGGAGGUGUACGCUGUCGCUAUAAAAAGUUACAGGUUCGUGGGAAUUAAUAAUGGAUAAAGAGUCCAGAGAUAAACCGUUAAUGGAACGAAGCUCAUGUUCUACGACUCUUGUAAGGAACAAGCACAUCGACAAGUUGAUGCUCCUUCGUAAUGGAAAUUGUGUCGAGUUCAAUCGUGAUAUAUCUACUAACACGAUAAGUUAAAUAUGUAAUCUCCAUUGAAUGAGAGAUUUGUAUAUUUACAAGAUGCUAAUACAUGUACCUGUGUAGAAACACGAGCACGUGAGACAUUGUUAGACACGUAUCUCGUUCUGUUUGAUGGGUGCACCGUAGUAUGUAAACGAUGACGUCGCUAACAAAGUUACACAAAGAUUGUCAAAAAAAAUUUGUAUCCUGAUAAUUAAACGAUUAUCCUAUUCGUCA
Photinus pyralis (common eastern firefly) is the source of this 646-nucleotide long non-coding RNA. RefSeq lists it as uncharacterized. NCBI's taxonomy places the organism in Eukaryota, Metazoa, Arthropoda, Insecta, Coleoptera, Lampyridae. The record is from RefSeq and is a predicted model, not a curated record. The transcript is spliced from 3 exons.